RNAcentral lists this ribosomal RNA (1444 nucleotides) under metagenome. RNAcentral describes it as "bacterial SSU rRNA". It matches the Rfam family "Bacterial small subunit ribosomal RNA". The record is from RNAcentral.
AGAGUUUGAUCCUGGCUCAGGAUGAACGCUGGCGGCGUGCUUAACACAUGCAAGUCGAACGAACCUUCGGGUUAGUGGCGGACGGGUGAGUAACGCGUGAGAAUCUGCCCUCAGGAGGGGGAUAACGGCUGGAAACGGCCGCUAAUACCCCAUAUGCCGAGAGGUGAAAUGAAUUUCGCCUGAGGAUGAGCUCGCGUCUGAUUAGCUUGUUGGUGUGGUAAAGGCUCACCAAGGCAUCGAUCAGUAGCUGGUCUGAGAGGAUGAUCAGCCACACUGGGACUGAGACACGGCCCAGACUCCUACGGGAGGCAGCAGUGGGGAAUUUUCCGCAAUGGGCGCAAGCCUGACGGAGCAACGCCGCGUGAGGGAUGAAGGCCUCUGGGCUGUAAACCUCUUUUAUCAAGGAAGAAGAUCUGACGGUACUUGAUGAAUAAGCCACGGCUAAUUCCGUGCCAGCAGCCGCGGUAAUACGGGAGUGGCAAGCGUUAUCCGGAAUUAUUGGGCGUAAAGCGUCCGCAGGCGGUCUUGAAAGUCUGUUGUUAAAGCGUGGAGCUCAACUCCAUUUCAGCAAUGGAAACUAGAAGACUAGAGUGUGGUAGGGGCAGAGGGAAUUCCCGGUGUAGCGGUGAAAUGCGUAGAUAUCGGGAAGAACACCAGUGGCGAAGGCGCUCUGCUGGGCCAUAACUGACGCUCAUGGACGAAAGCCAGGGGAGCGAAAGGGAUUAGAUACCCCUGUAGUCCUGGCCGUAAACGAUGAACACUAGGUGUCGGGGGAAUCGACCCCCUCGGUGUCGUAGCCAACGCGUUAAGUGUUCCGCCUGGGGAGUACGCACGCAAGUGUGAAACUCAAAGGAAUUGACGGGGGCCCGCACAAGCGGUGGAGUAUGUGGUUUAAUUCGAUGCAACGCGAAGAACCUUACCAGGGUUUGACAUCCUGCGAAUCCCUUGGAAACUUGGGAGUGCCUUCGGGAGCGCAGUGACAGGUGGUGCAUGGCUGUCGUCAGCUCGUUUCGUGAGAUGUUGGGUUAAGUCCCGCAACGAGCGCAACCCACGUCUUUAGUUGCCAGCAUUAAGUUGGGCACUCUAGAGAGACUGCCGGCGAUAAACCGGAGGAAGGUGUGGAUGACGUCAAGUCAUCAUGCCCCUUACAUCCUGGGCUACACACGUACUACAAUGCUACGGACAAAGGGCAGCAAACUCGCGAGAGCUAGCAAAUCCCAUAAACCGUGGCUCAGUUCAGAUCGUAGGCUGCAACUCGCCUACGUGAAGGAGGAAUCGCUAGUAAUCGCAGGUCAGCAUACUGCGGUGAAUACGUUCCCGGGCCUUGUACACACCGCCCGUCACACCAUGGAAGUUGGCCACGCCCGAAGUCGUUACUCCAACCCGCAAGGGAGGAGGAUGCCGAAGGUGGGGCUGAUGACUGGGGUGAAGUCGUAACAAGGUA